Molecule: non-coding RNA, 893 nt
Organism: Oryctolagus cuniculus (rabbit)
Lineage: Eukaryota; Metazoa; Chordata; Mammalia; Lagomorpha; Leporidae
Source: RefSeq, a predicted model, not a curated record
AAAAAAGACAAAUCAAGACUCCGUGGCAAGAAUAAAUUAGGUUAACGUAAUUCUACGAAGGGCUUCCAUCUGCGAGGCCCCGGAGGCUGCACAACUAGUUCUUCAGAAACAUGAGAAAAACGGAAAUAAAAAUAUUAAAAACCCAACCGAUGGUCUCGUUAGGAGCCAGUAUUUGCUUUAUUUUCCUCUUUUCACUACAUUAAAAAUCCCAUUGGCUACCGAGCAGCCCGGUUCCCCGCAGCUGCCACUGCGCUUGCGCGGCGAUCUGUUUACGAAGGGGGCGCCGCGUAGGCCGCGCUCCCUGCCUCCCUGGGCGCCCUCGCCGGCUGUGCUGGCGUGCGCCUCGUCGGGAAAAUCAGGUGUUCUUUUGGGAGGACCGGUCAGAGGUUUAAAACAGGACAGGUCGCAAACUUGAAGCCAGUGAAAAUAACGGUAACGGGACUCGGAGCCCUCAGAAGUGGGCGAGGCGGCAGCGCCGUCAUGCACGGUGUGAGAGCCCCGCAGGCCCCUUUCCAAGACGCGGUGAGCGGCAACAGUGAGCCAAACGCGAGGUAGAUAUUUAGGGAGCCCUGCGGUAAAAAUGCGACUGAGCCUGAACCACGUGCCGGCGUGAUGAGGACGAAGCUGAAUCAGAAAGGCAGCCAUGCAGAUUUUGAAACUGAAAAGAGGCACAUCAGCAGGGAGCUGGAUCAGAAGCAGAGCAGAUGGAUGCUUAAACUACUAUGCCACAGCGCCAGCCCCCAAGUGAUGUCUUCACUGCUGUGCCAAAUACCUGCCCCUCUGGUACCUUUUUAGUAUGCUUGGUCCUCCACAGUCAUACCUCACCCUUGGCCCCUGCCUGGCCUACUUCCAGACUGGUUUCCUGAUAAUAGAAAUCAUCUGUUCUCUGCUUA